Molecule: ribosomal RNA, 436 nt
Filed under: uncultured bacterium
Lineage: Bacteria
Description: partial 16S ribosomal RNA
Rfam family: Bacterial small subunit ribosomal RNA
Source: RNAcentral
AGCGAACGCUGGCGGCAGGCUUAACACAUGCAAGUCGAGCGGGCAUCCUUGUGGUGUCAGCGGCAGACGGGUGAGUAACGCGUGGGAACGUGCCCUUCGGUUCGGAAUAACUCAGGGAAACUUGAGCUAAUACCGGAUACGUGCGAGAGCAGAAAGGUUUAUCUGCCGAAGGAUCGGCCCGCGUCUGAUUAGCUAGUUGGUGAGGUUACGGCUCACCAAGGCGACGAUCAGUAGCUGGUCUGAGAGGAUGAUCAGCCACACUGGGACUGAGACACGGCCCAGACUCCGACGGGAGGCAGCAGUGGGGAAUAUUGGACAAUGGGGGCAACCCCGAUCCAGCCAUGCCGCGUGAGUGAUGACGGCCUUAGGGUUGUAAAGCUCUUUUCUCCGGGACGAUAAUGACGGUACCGGAGGAAUAAGCCCCGGCUAACUUCGU